AAUAGUUAGAGAGAACAGAAAAACACUCUAUGUUUAGACUGCUCAGUAGUAAAGCUACCAACUCUAGCAGAGAAAUAAGAUAUGUUCCAGGUCGACAGGACUGAUCCGGGAGCAAGUAGACAUGGAAGAUGUGUUUGACUGAUCCGGGAGCAAGUAGACAUGGAAGAUGUGUUUGACUGAUCCGGAAGCAAGUAGACAUGGCAGAUGUGUUUGACUGAUCCGGGAGCAAGUAGACAUGGAAGAUGUGUUUGACUGAUCCGGGAGCAAGUAGACAUGGAAGAUGUGUUUGACUGAUCCGGGAGCAAGUAGACAUGGAAGAUGUGUUUGACUGAUCCGGGAGCAAGUAGACAUGGAAGAUGUGUUUGACUGAUCCGGGAGCAAGUAGACAUGGAAGAUGUGUUUGACUGAUCAGGGAGCAAGUAGACAUGGAAGAUGUGUUUGACUGAUCCGGGAGCAAGUAGACAUGGAAGAUGUGUUUGACUGAUCCGGGAUCAAGUAGACAUGGAAGAUGUGUUUGACUGAUCCGGGAGCAAGUAGACAUGGAAGAUGUGUUUGACUGAUCCGGGAGCAAGUAGACAUGGAAGAUGUGUUUGACUGACCGGGAGCAAGUAGACAUGGAAGAUGUGUUUGACUGAUCCGGGAGCAAGUAGACAUGGAAGGUGUGUUUGACUGAUCCGGGAGCAAGUAGACAUGGAAGAUGUGUUUGACUGAUCCGGGAGCAAGUAGACAUGGAAGAUGUGUUUGACUGAUCCGGGAGCAAGUAGACAUGGAAAAUGUGUUUGACUGAUCCUGGAGCAAGUAGACAUGGAAGAUGUGUUUGACUGAUCAGGGAGCAAGUAGACAUGGAAGAUGUGUUUGACUGAUCCGGG
This 869-nucleotide long non-coding RNA is filed under the name Salmo salar (Atlantic salmon). Its description in RNAcentral is "lncRNA (ENSSSAG00000090352.1)". Lineage: Eukaryota; Metazoa; Chordata; Actinopteri; Salmoniformes; Salmonidae. The record is from RNAcentral.